RNAcentral lists this ribosomal RNA (253 nucleotides) under uncultured bacterium. RNAcentral describes it as "partial 16S ribosomal RNA". It matches the Rfam family "Bacterial small subunit ribosomal RNA", at positions 524 to 776 of the family's 1533-position model. The record is from RNAcentral.
UACGUAGGUGGCGAGCGUUGUCCGGAUUUACUGGGUGUAAAGGGCGUGUAGCCGGGCUGACAAGUCAGAUGUGAAAUCCGGGGGCUCAACCCCCGAACUGCAUUUGAAACUGUUGGUCUUGAGUAUCGGAGAGGCAGGCGGAAUUCCUAGUGUAGCGGUGAAAUGCGUAGAUAUUAGGAGGAACACCAGUGGCGAAGGCGGCCUGCUGGACGACAACUGACGGUGAGGCGCGAAAGCGUGGGGAGCAAACAGG